GGGGAAUCUUGCACAAUGGAGGAAACUCUGAUGCAGCGAUGCCGCGUGAGUGAAGAAGGCCUUUGGGUUGUAAAGCUCUUUCGUCGGGGAAGAAAAUGACUGUACCCGAAUAAGAAGGUCCGGCUAACUUCGUGCCAGCAGCCGCGGUAAUACGAAGGGACCUAGCGUAGUUCGGAAUUACUGGGCUUAAAGAGUUCGUAGGUGGUUAAAAAAGUUGGUGGUGAAAUCCCAGAGCUUAACUCUGGAACUGCCAUCAAAACUUUUUAGCUAGAGUAUGAUAGAGGAAAGCAGAAUUUCUAGUGUAGAGGUGAAAUUCGUAGAUAUUAGAAAGAAUACCAAUUGCGAAGGCAGCUUUCUGGAUCAUUACUGACACUGAGGAACGAAAGCAUGGGUAGCGAAG
RNAcentral lists this ribosomal RNA (400 nucleotides) under uncultured Pelagibacterales bacterium. RNAcentral describes it as "bacterial SSU rRNA". It matches the Rfam family "Bacterial small subunit ribosomal RNA", at positions 356 to 773 of the family's 1533-position model. The record is from RNAcentral. Lineage: Bacteria; Pseudomonadati; Pseudomonadota; Alphaproteobacteria; Candidatus Pelagibacterales.